UGGGCAUCANUGACGCUGAGGGCUCGAAAGCAUGGGUAGCAAACAGGAUUAGAUACCCUGGGUAGUCCAUGCUGUAACGAUGAUUACUAGGUGUGGGAAGAUUGACCCCUUUCCGUGCCGCAGUUAACACAAUAAGUAAUCCACCUGGGGAGUACGACCGCAAGGUUGAAACUCAAAGGAAUUGACGGGGGCCCGCACAAGCAGUGGAGUAUGUGGUUUAAUUCGAAGCAACGCGAAGAACCUUACCAGGUCUUGACAUCCAACGACCGCCUAAGAGAUUAGGCUUUCCUUCGGGACGUUGAGACAGGUGGUGCAUGGUUGUCGUCAGCUCGUGUCGUGAGAUGUUGGGUUAAGUCCCGCAACGAGCGCAACCCUUAUUACUAGUUACUACGCAAGAGGACUCUAGUGAGACUGCCGUUGACAAAACGGAGGAAGGUGGGGAUGACGUCAAAUCAUCAUGCCCUUUAUGACCUGGGCUACACACGUACUACAAUGGCUAUUAACAGAGAGAAGCGAGACCGCAAGGUGGAGCAAACCUCAGAAAAAUAGUCUCAGUCCGGAUUGGGGGCUGCAACCCGCCCCCAUGAAGCCGGAAUUGCUAGUAAUCGCGGAUCAGCAUGCCGCGGUGAAUACGUUCCCGGGCCUUGUACACACCGCCCGUCACACCAUGAGAGCCGGGGGGACCCGAAGUCGGUAGUCUAACCGCAAGGAGGACGCCGCCGAAGGUAAAACUGGUGAUUGGGGUGAAGUCGUAACAAGGUAACCGUAAAGGGCGAAUUCGGAGCCUGCUU
Molecule: ribosomal RNA, 791 nt
Filed under: uncultured Anaerofilum sp.
Lineage: Bacteria; Bacillati; Bacillota; Clostridia; Eubacteriales; Oscillospiraceae
Description: bacterial SSU rRNA
Rfam family: Bacterial small subunit ribosomal RNA
Source: RNAcentral